RNAcentral lists this ribosomal RNA (453 nucleotides) under uncultured bacterium. RNAcentral describes it as "bacterial SSU rRNA". It matches the Rfam family "Bacterial small subunit ribosomal RNA", at positions 197 to 631 of the family's 1533-position model. The record is from RNAcentral.
UGGAGGAAAGUAGGGGAUCGAAAGACCUUGCGCUUAAGGAGCGGCCGAUGUCUGAUUAGCUAGUUGGUGGGGUAAAGGCCUACCAAGGCGACGAUCAGUAGUUGGUCUGAGAGGACGACCAACCACACUGGGACUGAGACACGGCCCAGACUCCUACGGGAGGCAGCAGUGGGGAAUUUUGGACAAUGGGCGCAAGCCUGAUCCAGCCAUGCCGCGUGAGUGAAGAAGGCCUUCGGGUUGUAAAGCUCUUUCAGUUGGGAAGAAACGAUUGCAACUAAUAAUUGUAAUUAAUGACGGUACCGACAGAAGAAGCACCGGCUAACUACGUGCCAGCAGCCGCGGUAAUACGUAGGGUGCGAGCGUUAAUCGGAAUUACUGGGCGUAAAGGGUGCGCAGGCGGUUUUGUAAGUCAGAUGUGAAAUCCCCGGGCUUAACCUGGGAAUGGCGUUUGAA